GAUUGUAAAGCACUUUAAGUUGGGAGGAAGGGCAGUAAGCUAAUACCUUGCUGUUUUGACGUUACCGACAGAAUAAGCACCGGCUAACUCUGUGCCAGCAGCCGCGGUAAU
Molecule: ribosomal RNA, 111 nt
Filed under: uncultured bacterium
Lineage: Bacteria
Description: partial 16S ribosomal RNA
Rfam family: Bacterial small subunit ribosomal RNA
Source: RNAcentral